Molecule: ribosomal RNA, 750 nt
Filed under: Triticum aestivum (bread wheat)
Lineage: Eukaryota; Viridiplantae; Streptophyta; Magnoliopsida; Poales; Poaceae
Description: partial small subunit ribosomal RNA
Source: RNAcentral
AUGAUUAACGAAUCCCGGGGUGCAUUUACGUGUCAGACAUCAACACUCGCGGUUUUUGACGAUUCUGGCCCGUUUCAUGGACUAUUACUCACCGACUCGGCGGGAUUUCUGGUAAAUCAAGCUCUAUCAGGGGUGGAAGCCAGCGAUUCGACAAUGGAUUUGUCUUCCUCAGUCUCUUCGAACUUUUCCAAUCCUGCUAUUUUCCCCAAAUGGUUGUUCGCUUGUGUGCUUAUUUUCCUUCCCCACUCAAAAACAAGUGUUACAGAAUGUUCUUCAAUUCAAAUAGAUCCACCGGACCAGAAACUCAAUUCCGCACUGCUGCUGAGUCGUCGGACUUAUCCACCUCAGGGAUUCGUGGAAUUCCCGCCCUUUUUUGCGGGUACUAAGAGUCCUCUCACUACCAACCAGCAGACAUCAUCAUCUGGCUGGGUCUUGCCGGGGAGAUCAAAACAAGAAGUCACGCCUAGACGACGACGCCCGUCCUGGGCUGCAGUAAGUACAUCGAGAGGUCGUUCCGCCCCUUGUCCCCGAAGAUGGGUAAUAUGUUCUCAUACAAUGUUGCUCCAACUUUUUUCUAGAGGGCCUAGCUGGCGAGCGAUCCUACGUACCUUUGUUCGCUUCUUUUCCACCAAGCACAGAAGUUUAAGGAGAACUGUAGGUCGGUGGCUACCUAAGGAAACUCCGAUUCGAUCCGCCCCCCGGCUGGGAGGCAUCUACCUCAUCCCGAUCACAAGGAGAGGUUCACCAUGA